Molecule: unclassified non-coding RNA, 240 nt
Filed under: soil metagenome
Description: partial contains 5.8S ribosomal RNA, internal transcribed spacer 2, and large subunit ribosomal RNA
Source: RNAcentral
AACGAGGCCGACCUGCGGCUGAGUUACCUGCGGAGGGAUCAUUACAGAGUUGCAAAACUCCCUAAACCAUUGUGAACGUUACCUAAACCGUUGCUUCGGCGGGCGGCCCGGGUCCUUCCCGGCGCCCCUCGGCCCUCGCGGGCGCCCGCCGGAGGUAAACCAAACUAUUGCAUUGUAUGGCCUCUCUGAGUCUUCUGUACUGAAUAAGUCAAAACUUUUAGCAAUGGAUCUCAGAUCGGA